RNA transcript from Schistocerca gregaria, 2812 nucleotides. It is a transcript of the gene named LYR motif-containing protein 2, with no coding region annotated. The record is from RefSeq and is a predicted model, not a curated record. NCBI's taxonomy places the organism in Eukaryota, Metazoa, Arthropoda, Insecta, Orthoptera, Acrididae. The transcript is spliced from 4 exons.
AUACUAGUAGAAGGUCUGUGUUGUGAUGCGCAAGAAUAGUCGUUGGAGGGAGAAUAAAAGCUGUCGUUUUGGUUUGGUUGAAGAUGGAUUUUUAUUUGAAAUAAAUGUUCUCUGUUCAUAGAGUGGUUGCGUAAUUCUUUGAUACUUCCCUUACUGUACAUAAUUUCCAACUAUGCCUCCAAAGAUCCCGGCAACAAUGAAUCUUAAACAGUUUAUGCUUCGUCAGAAAGUUUUGAAACUGUAUCGAGACAUAUUACGGGAAAUACGCAGAGUACCGGAUGAAGGAAGUAAAGCAGAACUUCGCCUUUGGGCUAGAAGUGACUUUAGAAAGUACCAAAAUGAGAAAGAUGAGUACGCUAUAAAGAUGCUGAUCUUCAAUGGUGAGAGAUCCUUAAAGGAACUGAAGCAAUCCAUUGAGUUGAGCAGUGCAAAGAAUAAUUAAAAGUAGCAUGUGAUGUUAAUGGCACAUGUGUGCUGUGACUGAACAAUAGAAAACAAUGUAAUAUUUAUGGUGACAUCAUCCUGACAACAGAGAGAUGGUGAAAUAAAUAAGAUAGAUGUUGUAACUUAUAAUAAUUAUAGCUGGGACCAAUUUGUUUAAUUAUUGCAGCUGUUAUUUGAUUUGGUUAUAAAUGAAGCUGUUAACAAACAGCCUGAAGCCAGAAUACUUUGACAUAAUGAUGGAAACUAAUUAUUUUUUAUAUCCUUUACACGAGGAAUGCUACUGUUCCUUUCCAUUGGUCAUGUAUUGUCACAUAUUUUGCUUGUGUGAGCAAAAGUGAUAUAAAGUGGGGGGCAGAAACCUAAUUAAUGUGAUUGAUAACUGGUUUGUGUGUGUACUCCCUGUGCCUUGUUGAUAUAGAUGAGCACAAGGUGCUUUUACAAAUUUUGGCCGUUCUUUCUAGAUCUAUGUAUGUACUCUGCAAGCCAUUAAACAGUACUCUGCACCAUAUUAAACGAGAGAAAAAGAUGCUCUAUAUACCUGUGUACAUGCCUUAAUCUCGCUUUAUCUUAUUCUCAUGAUCCCAGAAUGGUUGUACAGUCUUCUUUGAAUACAAGUUCUGUAAAUAUUCCCAAAGGGCUUCACAAGAACUAUACCAUCUGCCCUCCAAUGAUUCCAAUUGAAGUUCUCUGAGCAAUUCUGUUACACUUUUGUGAGGGCAAUACCAACCUGCUACAACCCUAGCAACUUGUCUGAAUUUGUUUGCUGUCUAUUGUCAUGCCUACUUAAUGACACCAAACUAUGGAACAAUACUUUAGAAUUGGCUGCCCUAGCAUCUUAUAUACAAUUUCCUUUACGAAUGUAGUACACUUUUUCACAGAACCUAUCCAACAAAUCCAAGUCUUUCGUUCACCUUCCCUAAUACUAAUUGUAUGUGUUUAUCCCAUUUAGUAUCACUUUUUAGUAUUACCUCUAAAUACUUAAUGUCUACAUCUAUCUACACAUAUACCUCACCAUAUGGUGCAUUGGGGAAGUAACUUAUAUCACUGCUAGUCAAGUAGAGAACAAGAGCAGUCCCAUCACACAGCCCUGGACCACUCCCGGUGAUACUUUUGAUGACCACUUGCUAUCCAGGACACCAUACUGGUUUCCAUUACUUAAAAAAUCCUUGAGCUACUCACAUGUCUGAGAACCUAUUCUGUAUGCUCAGAUUUUGUGAACAGUCUGCAGUGUGAAGUGCUGUGUGCAAGAAAAGAGGAAGCUAAGUUUCAGAUGUGUCAUGCUCUCAGAAUCCAUGCUGAUUUGUAGAUGGAAAAUGCGAUACACUCAAGAUGUUCACAGCUAAUCUUGUAAUCAGGUUCUUUCUCUUUGUUAUAGGCCUUGUUUUACACAUAUCCACAUUUAAGGAGAGCCUCUUAAUGUUACUGAUUCUACCUGAAAAAUCCUUUUAUGUAUAUUGACAAUAUUAUAGUCAUUAUUACAUUUUCUUGGGCUACACCCAAUAUGACUUUAAUUACUGUAACACAUUCAUCUCCAAGUAUUAUUACAUACUGCCUUACAGUUGUCAAAUAUUCAUUGAGACAAUCACAUACUUGCAAAGAUAUUCUGUAUUUUUGUAUCUUGGAUAGUAAUUGACAGUGUGGUACUGUGUCAGAAUACCUUUCAGAAAUUCAAGAAGGCAGAACCUAUCUGUUCACCUGCAUGGAUUAUUAAAUUUGAAAGGUAUUGUGUAUGAAUAAAGCAAGCUGUGUUUCUCACAAAUGAUUUCUCAUGAAUUAAUGCUGAUUCUUUGAGAGAACUUUGUUUUCGUCCAGGACCGUCAUGAUAUUUGAGCAUAGAAUGUGGUCUAGGAUCCUGCAACAGAUAGAGAUCAGCGAUAUUAGUCUGUAAUUAUGUGCAUCCAAUCCUUUACCAUUUUUUAAAAUGAGAGUGACCUAUACUCAUUUCCAGUAAUGUGGGACUAUUCAGUGCAUGAAAAAUUCUUGAUAAAUGUGAGCCAGUAGUGGGGAUAAUUCAGCAGUGUAUUCUGUGUUACAUUUAGCUGAAACUCUGUCACUUGGUAUCUUGUUCACUUUAGGUAGUCUCAGUUGUUUUGCAAUAUCAGGAGUGCUAAUAUCAGUAGCUCCCAUUUGUGAGUCUGAGUAGCAGUGAAUUGUCAUCACAGUAAUACAAAACUCCAGGACUCAAAUGUUUUAGAUUACUUAGGUCUGAUGUAGAGACUCACUGCAAGAUCUCAGUAGUCAGUAGUUGAGUGUAGUCACAAGUAUAGUAAAAACAAUUUUUUGGAGCAUGAGAUUGAAAAAUUGUUCAGACAUUUGAUUGUUGCAUGUAUUUGUAUAAGUGAAGUGAGAAAUAAAAUCUGUUGUAGUA